RNAcentral lists this ribosomal RNA (505 nucleotides) under uncultured bacterium. Its description in RNAcentral is "SSU rRNA". It matches the Rfam family "Bacterial small subunit ribosomal RNA", at positions 28 to 489 of the family's 1533-position model. The record is from RNAcentral.
GAUGAACGCCGGCGGUGUGCCUAAUACAUGCAAGUCGUACGCACUGGCCCAACUGAUUGAUGGUGCUUGCACCUGAUUGACGAUGGAUCACCAGUGAGUGGCGGACGGGUGAGUAACACGUAGGUAACCUGCCCCGGAGCGGGGGAUAACAUUUGGAAACAGAUGCUAAUACCGCAUAACAACAAAAGCCACAUGGCUUUUGUUUGAAAGAUGGCUUUGGCUAUCACUCUGGGAUGGACCUGCGGUGCAUUAGCUAGUUGGUAAGGUAACGGCUUACCAAGGCGAUGAUGCAUAGCCGAGUUGAGAGACUGAUCGGCCACAAUGGAACUGAGACACGGUCCAUACUCCUACGGGAGGCAGCAGUAGGGAAUCUUCCACAAUGGGCGCAAGCCUGAUGGAGCAACACCGCGUGAGUGAAGAAGGGUUUCGGCUCGUAAAGCUCUGUUGUUGGAGAAGAACGUGCGUGAGGGUAACUGUUCACGCAGUGACGGUAUCCAACCAGAAA